UAUUGGACAAUGGGCGAAAGCCUGAUCCAGCAAUGCCGCGUGAGUGAUGAAGGCCUUAGGGUUGCAAAGCUCUUUUACCCGGGAUGAUAAUGACAGUACCGGGAGAAUAAGCUCCGGCUAACUCCGUGCCAGCAGCCGCGGUAAUACGGAGGGAGCUAGCGUUGUUCGGAAUUACUGGGCGUAAAGCGCACGUAGGCGGCUUUGUAAGUUAGAGGUGAAAGCCUUGAGCUCAACUCCAGAAUUGCCUUUGAUACUGCAUCGCUUGAAUCCAGGAGAGGUGAGUGGAAUUCCGAGUGUAGAGGUGAAAUUCGUAGAUAUUCGGAAGAACACCAGUGGCGAAGGCGGCUCACUGGACUGGUAUUGACGCUGAGGUGCGAAA
Molecule: ribosomal RNA, 379 nt
Filed under: uncultured bacterium
Lineage: Bacteria
Description: bacterial SSU rRNA
Rfam family: Bacterial small subunit ribosomal RNA
Source: RNAcentral